UCCUUGGUGGCUCAGAGGGUAAAGCAUCUGCCUGCAAUGCAGGACACCUAGGUUCAAUCCCUGAGUCAGGAA
RNAcentral lists this transfer RNA (72 nucleotides) under Bos taurus (domestic cattle). It matches the Rfam family "tRNA". Rfam says of the family: Transfer RNA (tRNA) molecules are approximately 80 nucleotides in length. Lineage: Eukaryota; Metazoa; Chordata; Mammalia; Artiodactyla; Bovidae. RNAcentral also lists the same sequence under 1 other name. The record is from Rfam by way of RNAcentral.